UACGGAGGGCGCAAGCGUUGUUCGGAAUCACUGGGCGUAAAGCGCGUGUAGGCGGCCGGGCAAGUCGGAUGUGAAAUCCCGAGGCUCAACCUCGGAACUGCACUCGAAACUGCUCGGCUCGAGUCCCGGAGAGGAUGGCGGAAUUCCCGGUGUAGAGGUGAAAUUCGUAGAUAUCGGGAGGAACACCAGUGGCGAAGGCGGCCCUCUGGACGGUGACUGACGCUGAGAUGCGAAAGCGUGGGGAGCAAAUAGG
Molecule: ribosomal RNA, 253 nt
Filed under: uncultured bacterium
Lineage: Bacteria
Description: partial 16S ribosomal RNA
Rfam family: Bacterial small subunit ribosomal RNA
Source: RNAcentral